RNAcentral lists this transfer RNA (64 nucleotides) under Argulus americanus. RNAcentral's name for it is "tRNA-Pro". It matches the Rfam family "tRNA". From Rfam's summary of the family: Transfer RNA (tRNA) molecules are approximately 80 nucleotides in length. Their secondary structure includes four short double-helical elements and three loops (D, anti-codon, and T loops). The record is from RNAcentral. Lineage: Eukaryota; Metazoa; Arthropoda; Ichthyostraca; Arguloida; Argulidae.
CAGAAAAUAAUUUAAAGAUAAAAUAUUGGUUUUGGAUACCAAAAAUAGUAAAUACUUUUUCUGA